AUAGAUACAUUACCUGUAACACAUGACUGGCACAUAGUGAAAACACAAUAAGUUGGACAUUGAAGAGUGAGUUAAUGCAAGAGGAGUUGACAAAUUGAUUUCAGUCCAGAAAAAUAAGUUUUGCUUUUCCUAAAUCCUGUGUGAAGAAAUUACUAUAAAAGCAGGUUUCAAAGGUCUUCUGAGUAUAGUGAACGCUGAAAGUUGGUGAUGAGAAAAUGGAAGAUAAAUAUGGAAUAAAGCCAUAAGUAUGCAAUGCAAAUUAUGCAUAGUAAAUUGGACACAUUGAUUAGAUUCUUAGA
RNAcentral lists this long non-coding RNA (299 nucleotides) under Callithrix jacchus (white-tufted-ear marmoset). Its description in RNAcentral is "lncRNA (ENSCJAG00000079802.1)". Lineage: Eukaryota; Metazoa; Chordata; Mammalia; Primates; Cebidae. The record is from RNAcentral.